UGGCAGACCCAGCAAUUUAGCAGAGCUACACGUAUGAUGACCCAUGUAAUUGUGUAGCACACUGUGAUUUACUGGUAUAUGGGGAGCAUCAUUUGUGCAUGGUUUGAAUGAUGGACCUUGUACUGUGGAGUUCUUGUGCAUAUUUGAACGAACUUCUUAAUAAAUUGCUGCUUCUGAAUGUAGUUUCUGUGCCUGAAGCUGAUAUCAUUCUGCUAUAAUGUUUUUAUAGGUAAGUUAGGACAUGGGAAUUGAGGCUUCUAUUCCUAUCAGCACAAAGCUGAUGCAGCAGAGCACUCUCAUUUGAGCAUUCCUGAAACUGCAGCUGGAAAAGGCCGUAAGCAGUAUCACAUAUUUGGUAAUCGCUCUCUUAUGUUUGUAUCAGGUACGUGGUUUUCGAGCAUUAUAUUAUCUCCAACAGGGUUUUAGCUUUGUCACUCUCACAAUUCAUUGUAAUCUAAAACAAUGCAAUUAAGAAAGCUUGGAAAGUUUUUUUUUUCCCAUUUAAAAAAAUUCUUUAUUAUUGCCACAGUGUAUAUCAUUGGACUCGUAAGGCUUAUUCAAAUCCUAUGGCUAUACCACAGUUAGUUUUAAAGGUUGAUAUGUUCAAAUGAUUAUGCUCUUAGCUUUGUUCUGAGCUCUAUAUUGUAGAAUUUCCAAAAAAAUUGGGGUUUGGAACCUCCAGUAAUUUACCCACUCCAUUGGUUAUUGAAGCUGGCUAAACUUUCUCUUUAGUUCUUCCUUACCUGCCAUAGAUCUACUAAAUAGCCCCAGAAUCUUACAUUAGGAGAAAUUACUUUUAGCUAUUGCCAUCUCAAGGUAUGAUGUCCAAAGAUCUCUGAGGGAAUAAUUAGCCUUAGCAAUUAGUUUCUUUUCUUGAAGUUAUCUUUUGUUUUGGCAGAUUAUAUUUAUGUUUUUUGCCUUUAUGUAGUGAUAUCUCUCUCUAUCUUUUGGUUUUUACAUUUGAAUAUUUUCUUAAAGGAAACAAACUGCAGCUGAGGUACCCGACCUAAUCGAGCUGUAACAAGUUGGUCGACCUCUCUAACUAGAGCAAAUGGAUCCUGGAUAAGGAAACAUUGACGUAUCAACUGUUGAUGUCGAGACUUGCUAAAAAUUAACAGUUUAGAAUUGACUGCGUAAAGUCUUCUAUUGCAUAAACUUGAAUCUUUGAUGUGCUUUCUCAUAUCUUUUUGGAAGCUAACAUAAUUUACAUGAAGGCAUUUUCAGAUUUUAAAAUCAAUACAUACUGUUGAUCUCCUAGCUUCUCUGAAUGCAUUUUGCUUAUAGAAAGCGUGACUUUAUUAUUUUGAUUUCGACUUGCAUACACAAUUCUUGAGUUUAAUCAGAUGGAAACUGGAAAAUGGAACGGGACCAAGAAAGGUACAUUCAUGUUGGUCAUUAAACACUAUCUUCCGAUGCUUUCAGACAAUGACUGCAAAAGGUUGUUAUUACCUUGAAGCACCAAUGUCGGUAGCAAAAAAACUGCUGAAGAUGGUAAAUUGGUGAUUCUUGCUGCCGGAGAAAAUGUGAAUAUUCAUGUUUCAUUUGUCUUUUUUUUUNUUACUCCGGGCAUACCCGGGAGCGAGCAAAUGAAAAGAGAUGUGCCAACAAAGGUUUAAAGCCCUGCAAGUAAAGAUUCGAAGUGAAUCAAAACAUACGGAUACAAAGUAAACAUCGCUUUGUAUAUGUAUGUUUUAAUUCGUCUAACAAUGGAUUCAACUUGCGGCUUGAUACCUUCAAAAAUACAUUUAUUCCUUUCCAUCCAAAUGUAGUACACGGUUGUUGCAAGUGCAAUACGUUUUGCUCUACUAGGCCAACUCUUACCUCGAGCUUCCUUUUUCAUCCAUUUUAAUGAGCUCAACAAGGUGGACAUGCUACGCCGAAUAGCCAACCAAUCCCGGAUAUGAUCCCAAACUUCUCUACAAAAUCGGCAUGAAAAGAAUAGGUGCUGGGUAGAUUCAUCCGUGAGUGCACAGAAUGGGCACUUUCGGUCGAUCUGGAGAUACCAUAAUCUGUCCUUUGUCUGUAGUUUACCCCGAACAGCUAACCAUAGGAUGAAGGCAUGUUUAGGUAUGAUGGAACCGUCCCAAACAGAGGUAGCCCAUGCAGUUUUAACUCCCUUCGGUCUGAAGAACUCAUAGGCAGUUUUUGUGCUAAAAAUCCCAGAUUCUGUCCAGCUGAAUAAUCUGUCCAUUCCAGUUUGAAGUUCAUUUUGGGGUUCAACAAUACUGUCUCUUAUUUCCAGAAGCCUUUUAAGUAGUGGAGAAUCACCUUUUCUCACUUUAUACUUCCAAAUGUCCGAGCCUCGAAGAUGUACUUCAUUUAUCCAUUUAAUCCAUAAAGAAUCCUUUUUGCUAUGAAUGUUCCAAAGAGUUUUAGAAAGGAGUGCGGCAUUCCAACUUUUGAUAUCUCUAAAACCAAGCCCACCCUCAUGCUUAGGUAGGCAAAUUUGAUUCCAAGCAACCAACGGUUUUUUGGAUCCCCAUAGGAACCUUCGGCAAAGACUAAUAAUCUUUGAAGUAAC
RNAcentral lists this long non-coding RNA (2521 nucleotides) under Olea europaea subsp. europaea. Lineage: Eukaryota; Viridiplantae; Streptophyta; Magnoliopsida; Lamiales; Oleaceae. The record is from RNAcentral.